UAUCCCAUACGUAGGUCUCCAUGUAAGAAAAAAAGAGGUCUUCAUAUGGAGGCCCAAAACGCAUCUCUUUAGCCAGCGCAUGAAAUCUCUAAGAGAGAGUCCUAGCAAAUUAUCCCACACGUAGGUCUUCAUGUAAGAAAAAAAGAGGUCUUCAUAUGAAGGCCCAAUACGCAUCUCUUCAGCCAGCGCCGCUCCUCCUCCACCGCCUCUCAAUGUCGCCGCUCCUCCUCCACCGCCUCUCGAUAUUCUCCUUCAAUGUCUUCUUACAUACUCCAAGGUACGAUCCCUGAUGCCAUUCAUCUAGAAGAAAAUUAACCAAUCCAAUCUUUCAUCAUUCCCCCUUCCACCCCAAUUUUCAAAUCUCCUUUUAUUCCAGGCUUCUAGAUGGCCUACACAUCUGUGCAUGUGUAUCCACGAUAGUUUGAAGGAGGGGCGCCGUUCAUUUUUGAGGGCGCACAUGCCGGAAGUUUAAGGCAAAUACAUGCCGGUGGCUUGACCAUCUCCUCCUCUGUUUGAUUUUGGUCUGACAGGCCAUGGUGACGAGUAGGUCGAUCUAUGCUGAUAACUUAAUGGCGUUGAUGGCUGUGUGCAUCUUUAUAGUCCCAGUGGUGGCAGCAUGUAGAGGUGUAAACAUAGGAGCAGAUUAAUAAUCAUCCAUAUACAUGGGCAACAGAUUGAUAGCAGCAACGUGCAGGUCUGAACCUGCUCUCCCUAGCCAUGGUUCCCAAUGGUAAGUUUCCACUGAGGGCUCAUAUCUUAAUUGUAGGAAGUUGGAAUUUCUCAUCUCACAUCCAAAUACACAACACCAAACAUGCACACACAGCUAAGCAGCUAGAGGAGCGUACUUCUUUAUCGAUUAUUAGAACUAAUGGAGACUGUAUAAUAUUUGUGUAUCUGCCAAAUUUCUACCUACUUAAAGCAACACAGGGUGAUUUGGUUUCCUUAUUAAUCUACCCGACCAGGGCGCAGUAAAGACCGUGGCUCGAAUAUUCGUUGAAAAAUAUGAUUAUUGUUUUCAAGUGACUGAUUUUUUCGCAACCAAUUUUGUCUUUCGGAAUUAAAUUUUUAGCAGUACACAAGUACUCAUCUGUUGCUUUGUUCCUUCGGGUGGCAAUACUAUGGUUCGUUGCUGUUGAGUCAAAACCGAUGUGUACAGCUAAUUUUUAUCUUUAGAUCUAGCUUGCAAGAGGAGGAAUAUAAUAUCCAUUACAGAUGGCAAUGAUACCAGUUUAAGCCCAAUCAAUUAUUUUAGGUGACUACCCUAAAAAAACUAUUAUAGUUGACUGCUAGCAUAUUCAGUACUAGAGGCUCUCUGCAAGAAUUCACCGGCGAUUUGCCCCUACCACUGGCAUGGGGCGUCCUGUAAAGUAUUUUGUUGCUGGCUCGAGGCUUGGAGGAGAUACAAUACCGACAGUCCUCUUUGAAGCAAGUACGGUGAUGGCUGUCCGUCAUCAAUAAGGCAGCACAAAGUUUCGCAUCCUAUAGAUGCCAAUCAAUGGCAUAAUACACCUCUCCUGUCCCAAUUUAGCAGGGUAGUAGUACCCUUAAUUCCCAUCUUCACUGGCCUGUUCUUCAUCCUUUUCAAUUCAUAACCAAACCCCCAGCGGAUAUCAUAUCUCAUCAAGAAAGAUUGGAAGCAGAUGCUAGAUGCUGUUCGUCAGGCGUGUGAGAACGGAAAAUCAUGGUUUUCCUAUUGUGCAUACUGCAGGAGCAGUACAUCUAAACUACAGACAUAAUUAUUAGUGCAUAGCUAUGUUCUUUUCUUACUUUUUGCUGAUGAAAUGUUCCUGGUUUCCACAUGCAGUAUUUGCAAAAAAAAAUUGGUGGAUGCGGCAAGGUUUGAUUAAUAUGAUGGUAAGUAUUGUUUUCAGGUGUCAGAGCUUAAGAAAGAUUGAUCCCUUUGUGGAAAGUUAGGGUGGACGAAGUGGUCAAGAAAAAAUCUUCAAGCAUGCAUUCAAUAUCAACGAUAUGGUGGUUGGCGUCUUCCAUCGUGCAGCCUGCGUAUCUGUUGUUUCAUGUUACACUGGUGCAAACAAGAGAAAUCUCCUCUAUAUCAAGUUAUUGUUAGGCUCGCCUGUGUGUUCUUUGGUGAUUAGGAAAAAGAAGUAUCGAGAAGCUCAUGGCGACCAUCUGCUGAUUCCUCACGGCUGCCUACAUCUGUCUACUAGAUUGGACGCAAAAUUGCAAUAUGAGACACUCAACAAUGCAUCAAUUAAUGUU
Long non-coding RNA from Triticum aestivum (bread wheat), 2220 nucleotides. RefSeq lists it as uncharacterized. The record is from RefSeq and is a predicted model, not a curated record. The transcript is spliced from 2 exons. Lineage: Eukaryota; Viridiplantae; Streptophyta; Magnoliopsida; Poales; Poaceae.